This is a long non-coding RNA of Callithrix jacchus (white-tufted-ear marmoset), 1422 nucleotides long. RefSeq lists it as uncharacterized. Lineage: Eukaryota; Metazoa; Chordata; Mammalia; Primates; Cebidae. The record is from RefSeq and is a predicted model, not a curated record.
AAUGAGCAGAGAGAUCUGGAGAAACCAUGUCAAAGCUUUCCGAGAAAGACCGAGAACAAUACCUGGGGAACACCAAAAAGAGAGACGAUAAAGAAGGGAUGACAGGUCCCUGCAGGCCUGGACCAAGUGCAACACAGAACAAGCAACAAGACCAGAAGAAAGCAGUGUGUCUUGUUAUGUUCCUUUUCUAGGCUUUUAAUCAGCAGUGGCUUCCCAGCAGGAUGAGGCAGGGCUCCAACCAUUACAGGUUACCCAGAAGCCACCAGAGAAAAAUGGAGAAGGAAAGCCUUGAAGAAUGAGCAUCGUCCCAGAUGUGAUGUGGUUGCCAUAGAGACCACUCCAGACAGUAGCCAGGAAGGGCAGUGCCUGUCCUCAGAGCAGUUAACAAGCUAUUAGACCAAACAUGAAGGUGCCAGCAGUUGACACAUAGAGUGGGCCUCAAUUGCUUAGAAACCAAGCUGAACUCACAAAGAAAAGAAGAUGGGAGAAACUUCCCAAGAGGAAUAUCUCCAAAUUGCAGGUGAAGGUCACAGGGAAGACAUGCCUCUGUGUUAAAACUUCAGGUGGUCCUAGUAAUGGUACUAUGGGAAUGAAGCAUGGAGAGGAUUGUGAAAAGCUGCAGUGAGGAAGGAGCUUUCUCUCAAAGUGCAACCCUCCAAGGAUUAAAUAUCAUAAGAAGAAUUCUGGACUGAAGAGUUACGAUGUCAUUUUAGAAACUUCCAGAUAAUUUGUAUUAAUUAAAUUCUCACCAGUUGAGUUCCAUUCUACACGAGAAGAUCAUUUCUUCUGGGAGUGCUCCUCAAAAUGAACAUUUGGCAAACACAGAGAGAUAUGCUCAAAGAAGAGGUGAGUUUGGAACUGCAAAUCUUCCCAGCCUCAGGACUUCUAUUAUGGUUGCUUGCUGUGCUACAAAGCUGGAGGUCUAAAGUGGAGGCAUGCAGAAGAUGCCGUCUGGCUUAUAAAGGGUCUAAUUACAUGUGUGUGCAGCCCUAUGUGGCAGUCUGGGAAGCCAAUGAUACAACUAACUAUACUGAAACAACAAACGUGAGCUUCCACUAAGGGCCCCCGCCUAUAGAGCCAUCAUGUUGUCAUGUCAUUUUCAUACAUUGUCAUUCCUUUCUUUUGUUCUAGCUUCACUUGUUGACUUUUCUCCCCCUAUUAAAAUCCUCCUCCUUUCAGGACACCAUCAAGAGUCACCUCCUCAGGGAAGCCUUCCAUGGUUUUAUACCACCCAUCCCUAUCUGAAUGAAUGUAUCUUUGUUCUCUGUUAACCCAAUAUUUGCUGGGCUUUAUCACACUACUUUCAAUGCCUACACCUCAGUCAUCAAAUCCGAAAAACAAGAGUCAUCAGUCUCUAAGGUCCUUGCAAGCUUCAAAACUUCAUAUUUUUGUCAAUUAGAACCUAAUAAAGCUGAAAAAACU